GGGGGUGUUCCGGAAUUCGACUGUCGAUUGUAGUCUGCGUCUGCGUGCCGGAGACGACACUUGGCUCCGUAAAAAUGUGUCAAAACAAUAAUAAAUGGCGAAGAAUACGCUAUUGCUGCUUAAUUAACGCGGCACGUCCGCUUCCCGAUUCUCGAUAGGGAAAUCCGGGCGACGACAUCGAGAAAAGGGGAUUGCUUCGGCCCUGCGGGGUGCAAUCCGCCAAUUACUGCGGGGUGCCCCCGGCGCGGCCGUCCGAGCCUAACGCCGGGGAAAGCAUAAGUCGAGACUACGCAUGUAGAAGGCGCCGGUGAAAGUCCUCAGGACGCGGGUUCGACUCCCGCCACCUCCACCA
This 352-nucleotide transfer-messenger RNA is filed under the name Opitutales. Its description in RNAcentral is "Merdousia sp944389175 Standard tmRNA". It matches the Rfam family "transfer-messenger RNA". Rfam says of the family: Bacterial tmRNA, also known as 10Sa RNA or SsrA, is named for its dual tRNA and mRNA-like properties. Its role is to liberate the mRNA from a stalled ribosome. To accomplish this part of the tmRNA is used as a reading frame that ends in a translation stop signal. Lineage: Bacteria; Pseudomonadati; Verrucomicrobiota; Opitutia. The record is from RNAcentral. RNAcentral also lists the same sequence under 1 other name.